AUUGAACGCUGGCGGCAUGCCUUACACAUGCAAGUCGAACGGUAACGGGCCUUCGGGUGCCGACGAGUGGCGAACGGGUGAGUAAUACAUCGGAACGUGCCCGAUCGUGGGGGAUAACGAGGCGAAAGCUUUGCUAAUACCGCAUACGAUCCACGGAUGAAAGCAGGGGACCGCAAGGCCUUGCGCGGACGGAGCGGCCGAUGGCAGAUUAGGUAGUUGGUGGGAUAAAAGCUUACCAAGCCGACGAUCUGUAGCUGGUCUGAGAGAAUGAUCAGCCACACUGGGACUGAGACACGGCCCAGACUCCUACGGGAGGCAGCAGUGGGGAAUUUUGGACAAUGGGCGCAAGCCUGAUCCAGCCAUGCCGCGUGCAGGAUGAAGGCCUUCGGGUUGUAAACUGCUUUUGUACGGAACGAAAAGCCUUCUUUUAAUACAGGAGGGUCAUGACGGUACCGUAAGAAUAAGCACCGGCUAACUACGUG
This 482-nucleotide ribosomal RNA is filed under the name uncultured bacterium. Its description in RNAcentral is "partial 16S ribosomal RNA". It matches the Rfam family "Bacterial small subunit ribosomal RNA", at positions 30 to 507 of the family's 1533-position model. The record is from RNAcentral.